Long non-coding RNA from Neofelis nebulosa (Clouded leopard), 762 nucleotides. RefSeq lists it as uncharacterized. The transcript is spliced from 2 exons. The record is from RefSeq and is a predicted model, not a curated record. Lineage: Eukaryota; Metazoa; Chordata; Mammalia; Carnivora; Felidae.
UCAAGGCUGGGGAGGAAAAAGAUUUAGAAAACUGGGGAAUGAGUGCCACCGUCACCCCCAUCUGUCAGGCUCCAACUUGGAGUGACAGGUGGGGGGAGUGGGUGUGGGCUGAGUGCCAUGGAGUGAGGCUGGGCAUCUGGACCCCCCCAGCAGGCUCCAUUAGCCUGCACUGUCCCUGAGGGAAAGGCUGGGGCCGCAGAUGGGUGAUCUUCCCUCACCCUUCCUGCCGCCUGUGAGUUUGACCCUGAGUUGGAAAGAGCUGUCGGGUUUUUCCGGUCCGUGUCGGGUUUUCCUCCCCUUCCAUGCAGUACAACUCCCUUUCCAGCGAAGGUGGGGGUCGCUCUCUGUUACAGAUCCUGAGCCUUGCGUGGUCUGUUGGUCUGUCUCCCGGAGAGCUCCACUGCCAGCCUGCCAUGCUGGGGAGCUCUCGCUCCUUUGAGCCCCUCCUGCAGUCCUCCUGGGCGCGGCUCCCGGAAUGACCAAAUCCCCUGAGCAUCCACCGCGCGCCCAGGGCACUGAAGCAGACGUAUACCCUGCAUACUCCAUGCAGCCAAUGCCGGCUGUGCCUCCUGACUUCCAGGCCUCCGAGGACAUGAGUGCAGUCCCUGUCCCAUCUCUGAUACAGGGCUGCUGUGGUCCGACAGGCCGGUGACCCAUCCCUGCUGAGGGCUGUGGUCACUGUCACCCAUUCGGAGAUCUUGGGUGUCCCAGCGAGGCCCUAUCACUUCCUGUGGCUUGUUAUUAAACACGUUGGUCAUGCAA